AGACAACGCUGGCGGCGUGCUUAACACAUGCAAGUCGAACGGAGUACCCUUGAUUGAGACUUCGGUCAAUUUCUUGGACUACUUAGUGGCGGACGGGUGAGUAACACGUGAGUAACCUGCCCUUGAGUGGGGAAUAACACACCGAAAGGUGUGCUAAUACCGCAUAACAUAACGAAGCCGCAUGGCUUUGUUAUCAAAGAUUUAUUGCUCAAGGAUGGGCUCGCGGCCGAUUAGGUAGUUGGUGAGGUAAUGGCUCACCAAGCCUACGAUCGGUAGCCGGACUGAGAGGGUGACCGGCCACAUUGGGACUGAGACACGGUCCAGACUCCUACGGGAGGCAGCAGUGGGGAAUAUUGCACAAUGGGCGCAAGCCUGAUGCAGCGACGCCGCGUGAAGGAUGAAGUAUUUCGGUAUGUAAACUUCUAUCAGCAGGGAAGAAAAUGACGGUACCUGACUAAGAAGCACCGGCUAAAUACGUG
This 479-nucleotide ribosomal RNA is filed under the name uncultured bacterium. Its description in RNAcentral is "bacterial SSU rRNA". It matches the Rfam family "Bacterial small subunit ribosomal RNA", at positions 32 to 507 of the family's 1533-position model. The record is from RNAcentral.